AACACUGCUGGGGAGACUCACUGGUGCUGAGCUCUUUGCCCUGAGUAAAGAGGACCUGCGUAUGUUUUCACCAGAGGAGGGUGCCAGAGUGUACAGCCAGAUGAUGGUGCAGAAGGCUUUACUGGAGGAUGUCCACAAAUCUACAGAGCUGGAGACAAUGAUGGAGAAACAGAAACAGAAAGCGGACUUCCAGCUGGAGAGCAGGAGGCUGUGACCAAGAACAAGCUAUACACAUGUAUAUCACUGAUACACAGAUAUCACUGGUUGAUGGACACCAACACAAUAACAUCACUGUCACUGAUUAAGAGGACACACACACUCAAUAACAUUGUCUGUAUGGAGAUUCUGAUACAGAGAUUUCCCUUUUAAAGGGUAGUUCACCCAAACUAUAAAAUUACUUGGCUUUCUUAAGGCAUCCGCAUGCUUCCCAGCCAAAACAGUUCGGAAGAGUUUGUGCAUAUAUUAUGAUGACAUUUUGUGACGUUGUUUGUUUUCGACGUUAGUGAAGGUUUUUUAGGCUGUUCAGGCAUAACAUUUUUCUGGAUGCAAGCAGAAGUUUUGAGCCGAAGUCUACGCCUCUUCGUUGGUGAUUGGUCAACAGUAGGGAUUUUUCAAUAAAGUCUUUGUUGUCAUUCAAUGAGAGAUGACUUACUUUCA
This is a long non-coding RNA of Salvelinus fontinalis (brook trout), 657 nucleotides long. RefSeq lists it as uncharacterized. NCBI's taxonomy places the organism in Eukaryota, Metazoa, Chordata, Actinopteri, Salmoniformes, Salmonidae. The record is from RefSeq and is a predicted model, not a curated record. The transcript is spliced from 2 exons.